Molecule: ribosomal RNA, 198 nt
Filed under: uncultured bacterium
Lineage: Bacteria
Description: partial 16S ribosomal RNA
Rfam family: Bacterial small subunit ribosomal RNA
Source: RNAcentral
ACGCUCGACACCUACGGGAGGCAGCAGUGGGGAAUAUUGCACAAUGGGGGAAACCCUGAUGCAGCGACGCCGCGUGAGCGAAGAAGUAUUUCGGUAUGUAAAGCUCUAUCAGCAGGGAGAAACUGACGGUACCUGACUAAGAAGCACCGGCUAAAUACGUGUCCAGCAGACGCGGUAAUCUGAGCGGGCUGGCAAGGC